GAUGAACGCUGGCGGCGUGCCUAAUACAUGCAAGUCGAGCGAACAGACGAGGAGCUUGCUCCUCUGACGUUAGCGGCGGACGGGUGAGUAACACGUGGAUAACCUACCUAUAAGACUGGGAUAACUUCGGGAAACCGGAGCUAAUACCGGAUAAUAUAUUGAACCGCAUGGUUCAAUAGUGAAAGACGGUUUUGCUGUCACUUAUAGAUGGAUCCGCGCCGCAUUAGCUAGUUGGUAAGGUAACGGCUUACCAAGGCAACGAUGGGUAGCCGACCUGAGAGGGUGAUCGCACACACUGGCAGAGAGAAACAGUCCAGACUCCUACAGGAGGCAACAGUAGGGAAUCCUACGCAAUGGAGGAAAGCCUGACGGAGCAAAGCCGCGUGAGUGAUGAAGGUCUUCGGAUCGUAAAACUCUGUUAUUAGGGAAGAACAAAUGUGUAAGUACCUAUGCAGGUCUUGACGGUACCUAAUCAGAAAGCCACGGCUAACUACGUG
This 497-nucleotide ribosomal RNA is filed under the name uncultured bacterium. RNAcentral's name for it is "partial 16S ribosomal RNA". It matches the Rfam family "Bacterial small subunit ribosomal RNA", at positions 28 to 507 of the family's 1533-position model. The record is from RNAcentral.